Papaver somniferum (opium poppy) is the source of this 1498-nucleotide long non-coding RNA. RefSeq lists it as uncharacterized. The record is from RefSeq and is a predicted model, not a curated record. The transcript is spliced from 5 exons. NCBI's taxonomy places the organism in Eukaryota, Viridiplantae, Streptophyta, Magnoliopsida, Ranunculales, Papaveraceae.
AUUAAAAUCCCCUAUUUUGUUUCUGCAUCAUUUCUUCUUUGUCAUCGACUCAUCGCAUAAUUCCUUUUCAAAAACGAAAGUUUAGGUUUUAGUUUAUCAGUUUGUUUUAGCUCGAUUAUCCAUAUCAAUUUGGCUUGAUCUCUCUUGCAAUCUCUUGUUCUUUUCGGUCUAAUUUUUUUUUUCUGAAACCCUAGAAAUUGAAAGAGAUUGGCACUAGAUCGGUGAUAAGGUUUGUGUAUAAAUCAGAUAAAGGAGGAGAUUUAAAACCGUAAGGUUUUGGUUCUCUAAUGGUUAAUGAAGAAAUUGAAGCAAAUACUCAACCACCAGAGAUAUCGAAUCUGAAAUUGAAAGUGCUCUGAGAUUGAUUCUUUUUUGCCAAUGAAGAAUCUGAACCAAAGAAGAUAGAAAUUAGUUUCUCCUUCUCAAGUUAACAGCUUAAUCCAAGUUUCUGUAAAAUAGAUUGGUUUGGUACAUUUAUGAAAGUUGAUCUAAAUUUGUAGAAGAUGGUGGGAUCGUAUUUCGAUUGAUGACCAAUGGCGGUUAGCUUGGGAGGGAUAGGAGAAAAUUAGGUGUGUUUUCAUGACUCUCUUUGUCCUCACCUUCAAAUGUCAUAACAUAGCAGUACAAAAACGACAGUAAGAGGAAAGUGUAGAAAGAAAUAAUAAGGAAGAAACAGUAUAGCUAGCUGAGAAAUGAUGAAGUGCUUCUACUCUAUACUAAUGAAGGGGUCUGAAUGGAACUGUUAGCUACGUAUAUGCUAUACAAUCUGACUACAGGGCAUGCAUUUUGAAAAAAAUGGGGAUACUAUGUUGGAAGCCACGUCAAGGUGAGAGCCAGUUGGAUGCUAUGCUGAGAGAAGAGAUUUUGACUGCUCUCUCCAUUUUUGGACAUGAUCUGCCGCUAAGAAAAGCAGUUUGACGUUUCCGUGCACGAUAGAAACACACCACUUCUCCCCCCGACUCAAGAAAGGAUCUUAGCGGUGGUCAAUUAGGAAAUUGGAGAAACAAGGUUUUGAAUCCUUCAAGCACAUGUCGGAUUGAAGAUGUUUAGACAUCAAUUGAGAGGUUGAAGAAAAAGGUUUGAGAUCAAUGGUGAAUACUCUUGUUUUGAGAGGAUCAAAAUCAGAUCCUGAUAUGUUUCUAACUAAAUUUUGGGAAGCUUGGAGAGCUAGAUCAUGGGAAGUAUUGAGUUCUGAGAAAUUUUGGAUCCGUGGAAAGUUUGACUGGAUGGAGUAUUAGGAAUUUUGAGGAAAGAACAAGAGACUUGGGAAAGUACUGAUAGAAACUUGCAAGAUGCUUUUCAGGAUUUCAAUGCUCAUAUGGUGUGUCUGACCUAUAUGUGUUUAUAGUUUAUCUGUUAAGUUUAGUUUGUAAUGAUUAUAGGUCACACCAAUGUAAACUAAGAUUUUUCUAAAAUGAGAAUUAUAUAGUCAUACGGGUACUCUUUUUGUAGCUGGCGGAAAGAGCUUUCCAAAUAUAUAAAGUUUGUGAAUUUUGGA